Molecule: long non-coding RNA, 416 nt
Filed under: Malus domestica (apple)
Lineage: Eukaryota; Viridiplantae; Streptophyta; Magnoliopsida; Rosales; Rosaceae
Description: long non-coding RNA (MDOM_LNC003178)
Source: RNAcentral
GCAUUGUAACACUGAAAGGUUCAGAAACGUGGACAGCACAUACACAAAGAGAAAGGCAAGGCAUGGACGGUUUGACAUGGGCAGAAAAUGGGUGGAUUGUUGGCUGAAAUAAUGAAGAACAUGUGUGUACAAAUGCAAAGGAAAAACACACACCAUGGGCAAAGGAAACACACACACAUGGGCAUAAAAUGGGUUGAUUUGUGGUUGAAAUGAUGAAGCAUGUGUGUGUAAAUGUAAAGAGGAAACAUGCCAACACACACCCACACAAGCUCACAUGCAAAGGAAAUGGAGUGGUCCUCUCCCUAGCCUAUAAAUACAUCCACCCUUCACCAUAACAAGGGAGAAGAAAACCAAAGAGAACACAAUCCACCCAUCCACCCUUCACCAUAACCCACCUAUAUCCAUCCACCACCAUA